Molecule: ribosomal RNA, 254 nt
Filed under: uncultured bacterium
Lineage: Bacteria
Description: partial 16S ribosomal RNA
Rfam family: Bacterial small subunit ribosomal RNA
Source: RNAcentral
UACGUAGGGGGCAAGCGUUGUCCGGAAUCAUUGGGCGUAAAGCGCACGUAGGCGGAUCUUUAAGUCAGAGGUGAAAUCCCAAGGCUCAACCUUGGAACUGCCUUUGAUACUGGGGAUCUCGAGUCCGGAAGAGGUGAGUGGAACUGCGAGUGUAGAGGUGAAAUUCGUAGAUAUUCGCAAGAACACCAGUGGCGAAGGCGGCUCACUGGUCCGGUACUGACGCUGAGGUGCGAAAGCGUGGGGAGCAAACAGGG